UACGUAGGGUGCGAGCGUUAAUCGGAAUUACUGGGCGUAAAGCGUGCGCAGGCGGUUUUGUAAGUCGGAUGUGAAAUCCCCGGGCUUAACCUGGGAAUGGCAUUCGGGACUGCAAGGCUGGAGUGCGGCAGAGGAGACUGGAAUUCCUGGUGUAGCAGUGAAAUGCGUAGAUAUCAGGAGGAACACCGAUGGCGAAGGCAGGUCUCUGGGCUGACACUGACGCUCAUGCACGAAAGCGUGGGGAGCAAGCAGG
RNAcentral lists this ribosomal RNA (253 nucleotides) under uncultured bacterium. RNAcentral describes it as "partial 16S ribosomal RNA". It matches the Rfam family "Bacterial small subunit ribosomal RNA", at positions 524 to 776 of the family's 1533-position model. The record is from RNAcentral.